Molecule: transfer RNA, 71 nt
Filed under: Loxodonta africana (African savanna elephant)
Lineage: Eukaryota; Metazoa; Chordata; Mammalia; Proboscidea; Elephantidae
Rfam family: tRNA
About the family: Transfer RNA (tRNA) molecules are approximately 80 nucleotides in length. Their secondary structure includes four short double-helical elements and three loops (D, anti-codon, and T loops).
Source: Rfam by way of RNAcentral
GCGAUGGUGGUUCAGUGGUAGAAUUCUUGCCUUCUAUGCUGGAGACCCGGGUUCAAUUCCCAGCCAAUGCA